RNAcentral lists this ribosomal RNA (490 nucleotides) under uncultured Pleosporales. RNAcentral's name for it is "eukaryotic LSU rRNA". The stretch from base 119 to 272 matches the Rfam family "5.8S ribosomal RNA". Lineage: Eukaryota; Fungi; Ascomycota; Dothideomycetes; Pleosporales. The record is from RNAcentral.
UGCUAUCUCUUACCCAUGUCUUUUGAGUACUUACGUUUCCUCGGUGGGUUCGCCCGCCGAUUGGACAAUUUAAACCCUUUGCAGUUGCAAUCAGCGUCUGAAAAAAAUUAAUAAUUACAACUUUCAACAACGGAUCUCUUGGUUCUGGCAUCGAUGAAGAACGCAGCGAAAUGCGAUAAGUAGUGUGAAUUGCAGAAUUCAGUGAAUCAUCGAAUCUUUGAACGCACAUUGCGCCCCUUGGUAUUCCAUGGGGCAUGCCUGUUCGAGCGUCAUUUGUACCUUCAAGCUCUGCUUGGUGUUGGGUGUUUGUCUCGCCUUUGCGUGUAGACUCGCCUCAAAACAAUUGGCAGCCGGCGUAUUGAUUUCGGAGCGCAGUACAUCUCGCGCUUUGCACUCAUAACGACGACGUCCAAAAGUACAUUUUUACACUCUUGACCUCGGAUCAGGUAGGGAUACCCGCUGAACUUAAGCAUAUCAAUAAGCGGAGGAA